UCUUUCUCUGUCUACUUCACUCCCUUC
Molecule: non-coding RNA, 27 nt
Filed under: Rattus norvegicus (Norway rat)
Lineage: Eukaryota; Metazoa; Chordata; Mammalia; Rodentia; Muridae
Source: RNAcentral